GUCUAGGCCACAGACACACGGAGCGCUGAGGACAAGGUAACCAUAAAAUGUUGCUGUUUCUGUUAAGAACACUCUAGUCCUAAUGAUCUACAAGUGUCCAGAAGUUAUCGCAGGUAAGCUCACACGGAAAAAGGGAAAAAAUCAGCAUAAACAGUGUUUAGUGUUCUGAGUGAAGAGGAGGCUGGGGAGCUAGCCCUCGGGUUUGCCGGAAGAUUGGCCUGCGAUGUCACAACAGACAUGGUCUGUAAAGGCAUCGACCAUUCAAGUGCUGAUAUGACAAAACAGACUCUUCUCAAAAUCCAACACAAUCUUAAACAUGAGCUGACUGAUUCCUCAACCUUCAGUUUGCUGACACACACCUUUGGCCCCGCUGCACUGGAUUCUGUCAUUUCAUUCCUGUGUGAAAAACUUGAUCUUGUCUCUUAAAUAAUGAAACCUUUUGUGACUUUUGUUUGUUCUGUAAAUCAGAAUCUUGAAAAUUGUUCAUUGUUGUUCUAAGUUUGUGUUAACUAUUUGGCAAAAAUGAUUGGUUCCUAAUCCAAACAGCAUAAUGACUGUUCUAACACAUAUCUUAAAAAUGCUACAAAGAAAGAAAAUUAUCACAUAUGUUUCAAUAUGAAUGUAAUUGUGUCACACUCGGUUUGUAGUAGCUUUCCUGUUUUAUUUUGAGUUUUGGUAUGUUUACACUGUUAUUUUUAUUUCCCGUGUGUUCGUCUUCCCUUAUUAGUUUUACUGUAUUUAAUUAGUCUGAUUUAAUAACUUAUAAUUAUUUACUUUCCAGUGUGUAUAUAUGCUCCUCGUUUGGAUUAUUGUUUGUUUGAGUUCUGCCUGUCUUUUCUAUUAAAGAUUUGGACUAUUA
This is a long non-coding RNA of Maylandia zebra (zebra mbuna), 859 nucleotides long. RefSeq lists it as uncharacterized. NCBI's taxonomy places the organism in Eukaryota, Metazoa, Chordata, Actinopteri, Cichliformes, Cichlidae. The record is from RefSeq and is a predicted model, not a curated record.